This 437-nucleotide ribosomal RNA is filed under the name uncultured Pseudorhodobacter sp. RNAcentral's name for it is "bacterial SSU rRNA". It matches the Rfam family "Bacterial small subunit ribosomal RNA", at positions 8 to 489 of the family's 1533-position model. Lineage: Bacteria; Pseudomonadati; Pseudomonadota; Alphaproteobacteria; Rhodobacterales; Paracoccaceae. The record is from RNAcentral.
AGAGUUUGAUCCUGGCUCAGAAUGAACGCUGGCGGCAGGCCUAACACAUGCAAGUCGAACGGGUGUCUUCGGGCACUAGUGGCGGACGGGUGAGUAACGCGUGGGAACAUACCCAAAGGUACGGAAUAGCCUCGGGAAACUGAGAGUAAUACCGUAUGUGCCCUUCGGGGGAAAGAUUUAUCGCCUUUGGAUUGGCCCGCGUUGGAUUAGGUAGUUGGUGGGGUAAUGGCCUACCAAGCCGACGAUCCAUAGCUGGUUUGAGAGGAUGAUCAGCCACACUGGGACUGAGACACGGCCCAGACUCCUACGGGAGGCAGCAGUGGGGAAUCUUAGACAAUGGGGGAAACCCUGAUCUAGCCAUGCCGCGUGAUCGAUGAAGGCCUUAGGGUUGUAAAGAUCUUUCAGAUGGGAAGAUAAUGACGGUACCAUCAGAAGAG